GUCCACGCCCUAAACGAUGUCAACUGGGUGUUGGGGAGCGAUUCCUCAGUACCGUAGCUAACGCGUGAAGUUGACCGCCUGGGGAGUACGGCCGCAAGGUUAAAACUCAAAGGAAUUGACGGGGACCCGCACAAGCGGUGGAUGAUGUGGAUUAAUUCGAUGCAACGCGAACAACCUUACCUACCCUUGACAUGUCCGGAAGCCUGCUGAGAGGUGGGUGUGCCCGAAAGGGAAUCGGAACACAGGUGCUGCAUGGCUGUCGU
This 263-nucleotide ribosomal RNA is filed under the name uncultured bacterium. RNAcentral's name for it is "partial 16S ribosomal RNA". It matches the Rfam family "Bacterial small subunit ribosomal RNA", at positions 793 to 1055 of the family's 1533-position model. The record is from RNAcentral.